This 384-nucleotide ribosomal RNA is filed under the name uncultured microorganism. RNAcentral describes it as "partial 16S ribosomal RNA". The record is from RNAcentral.
GAGUUUGAUCUUGGCUCAGGGUGGUAGGAACAUUGAGGCUGGGGCCGCCUGAGGCUUUGGCAUGAGGCUGGGGGGCUGAGGAGAGAUGUGAAACAGUUACACCGGGGGUGAAGGUGUCAGAGAGGCCUCUCAGUUUCAGCUUGAGUCGGCAGGCAGGCCAUGGUGGUGGCUGGUGGGGAAGUCACCACUGCCCCAGGCCAGAGAGGAUUGCCUCUGAGCCAGGGAUGUCCAGGGCUGCCUCUGAGAGAGGUACAGGUGGGAGUGGACACGGGCAGGUCAACCACUGUCCCUGCCCCAUGACCCCGACACAGGUCAGAUGACCCAGAUGUGGGGGCCAGGGCAGGAGCAGUUGAGGGGCCAGGCUAUCAGCUGAGUCGAAAAGUU